UAUAGGUACUCUCACUAGAAGUGGCCGUUAGAUAUUCAUCUGUUCACAGUUAGACAAACUGUCUAUAAAUGGAGAUGAUUUAGUACUAUAGGUACUCUCACUAGAAGUGGCCGUUAGAUAUUCAUCUGUCCACAGUUAGACAAACUGUCUAUAAAUGGAGAUGAUUUAGUACUAUAGGUACUCUCACUAGAAGUGGCCGUUAGAUAUUCAUCUGUCCACAGUUAGACAAACUGUCUAUAAAUGGAGAUGAUUUAGUACUAUAGGUACUCUCUCUAGAAGUGGCCGUUAGAUAUUCAUCUGUCCACAGUGAGACAAACUGUCUAUAAAUGGAGAUGAUUUAGUACUAUAGGUACUCUCACUAGAAGUGGCCGUUAGAUAUUCAUCUGUCCACAGUGAG
Molecule: long non-coding RNA, 397 nt
Organism: Xyrauchen texanus (razorback sucker)
Lineage: Eukaryota; Metazoa; Chordata; Actinopteri; Cypriniformes; Catostomidae
Exons: 3
Source: RefSeq, a predicted model, not a curated record